AACAAUAUUAUCUGCCUAUAUAAUACCGUAAUAUGGUCGGUAAGUCUCUACCCAAAGCCUUAAACUUUGGACUAUAAGCAACAAGAG
Molecule: non-coding RNA, 87 nt
Filed under: uncultured Limosilactobacillus sp.
Lineage: Bacteria; Bacillati; Bacillota; Bacilli; Lactobacillales; Lactobacillaceae
Description: Purine riboswitch
Rfam family: Purine riboswitch aptamer
About the family: Riboswitches are metabolite binding domains within certain messenger RNAs that serve as precision sensors for their corresponding targets.
Source: RNAcentral